AUUGCAGAGACCCAGCUGGAGGCCAAGGCAGCACUGCAACAGGCUGUGGAGAUGAAGACGCGAGGGAAAAGGCCCACAAGCUGCUGGUGCAUGCGCUCAACAUGAACCCGGACUUUGUGGAAGCUCUGACAGAGCUGGGGACCAUUCUGGAGGAGGAGAAGGAUGUUGUCCAAGCAGACCACCUAUAUACCAAGGCCCUGGCCAUCCCACCAUGCAACGAGAGGGCCCUGGUUAGCCGUGACCGCACACUCCCCCUGGUGGAGGAGAUCGACCAACGCCACGGGUUAUUGACAGUAAAGUAAGCAGGAUGAUGUCCAUCCCCAAGGGUAACUCUGCCCUUAGACGUGUCAUGGAAGAAACCUACUACUACCACACAGUGGCUAUAGAGGGCAACACACUCACUCUGUCUGAGAUCUGCCACAUCAUUGAGACUCGCUACGCCGUGCCCGGCAAGAGCCUCCAGGAGCAGAACGAGGUCAUUGGUGUGGACGCAGCCAUGAAGUACAUUAACACCACGCUGCUGUCCCACACUGUCAAUGACAUCCUGGAGAUCCACCGGCGUGUGCUGGGCUACGCAGACCCUGUAGAGGGUGGGCGGCUGCGUACCAGCCAGGUGUUUGUAGGGCACCACAUCCCACCCCACCCACAGGACCUGGAGCGCCACAUGCAGGAGCUGGUGCAGUGGCUCAACUCAGAGGAGGCCCUGCAGCUGCACCCUGUGGAAUCCGCAGCGCUCACCCAUUACAAGCUGGUGUAUGUGCACCCCUUUGUGGACGGAAACGGGCGCACGUCACGGCUGCUAAUGAACCUGGUGCUCAUGCAGGCACGCUACCCACCCAUCACCGUCCACAAAGAGCAAAUUUCAGAGUACUACACUGCUCUGGACACAGCCAACAAGGGUGACUUCCGCCCCUUCAUCCGCUUCAUAGCCAAAUGCACAGAGAUCACCCUGGAUACCCUGCUGAUCGCCACCACUGAGCACACUGUGGGGCUGCCUGGCUCCAGCCACCACCAGGCCUGUCCCGACUGCAAACAAACCAUCCCUGUCCACAACAGUGAGGGGACGGGAGUGAGUGGUGCAUGACUGUUUGGCUUUGUAUUUCUCUUUAUUUAGAUUUGCUAAUUUGGGCUUAAUCUUGCUCUAAGUGUAAAUAUAUGUUAGUUGAUUUAUGGAUAAAUAGCAGCCCUGUGUCAAUGAUAGCAUGACCUUGAACAUUUUUACUGGGAGAAUGCAUCUUUACAGAAAUGAAUAUUCACAUAUCUCAUGGUUUGUUUCCUCUACCUGGUAUGAGGUGCAGCUGUUUGAACUCAUUAUUACGUAUGUGCUGUGAAUAGAAAACACGUUUUCAGCUGCAGAUUGUUGUCCAUAAAGGGAUACGGGUCAAAUGUUUCUAACAUCGAAUAAACAUAAGGGUCAUGAACUUGUUGGCGCACAGACACAAAUGUACCUGUUUCAUACUCUUGGCAAAGCUACUCAUUGUUUUUAGUGUCGAUUCUAAAGGACAUUUAGGCCUAUAAUUCUGAAUUUGCAUUCCAUUCAUCUGAGUUAUUUUGAUGACUGAGAUGAGUGAAUGCGUUACAUUAACUGAAGGUGUUACGAAUGGGUAAUACAGUAUGUGUACAUGUCUGAGAUGAGGUUGAGUUGUGAUUCUACUUUGAAUUGUUCCCAUUAUGGACAAGAAAUACAGUGCACAGUAAAUCACUUGCUGUGUGCUGACAAACAGUGACGAUUCAACAUGUAAAAGGUUCUGUGGUCAGGCGAUAGGCAGGCCAACAGUCAUGUUAUUCUGUCUUGUCAUUUUGAGAACAUGGUUUGCAUCAAUGUACAGUAGCUCAUCCAACUGGUUCAUAUUCUCUAUUUCACUGAAGCACUUUCAUGUAUUUCAUAUAUUUAUUUUAAUGUAUUAUCUGUUGAAUGUGAUUUCCUUAGUUUCAAAACUCAACAUCUACUAGAAUUGCUUUAAUAAACUUAAGGUCAGAAACGGCAACAAAACCACAAGAUGACAUUUUUACAACACUCAAAUGACAAGUGUAAAACUUGGAACAAGCAGUAAAUAAAAGAAUCACUGAACAAAAGUAGACCAAGUUCAAUCUCCUCACAGGGUUGCGUUGACAAUUUUGUAAAUAAAAAGCUAUUUCUAGUUUACAUUUGUGUUCUCGUAAUAGAAAAAUGUGAACACCAUAACAAUGAUUUCAAAAUUACUACACAAUGUACAUAUAUCAUAUAUUGGACAAACAGAAAGUAACUUCUAAAGCUCAAACAUUUGUAGUCUCUAACUAGAUUAGGCCACUGUGGUGAUAGAACGUCGCUAGAUAUAGCUAAUAAUUCUCAAACAUACAAAACUAUGGCUAAUCACUUGGAGUGUGUGAAUUCUGAACACACAUGACGUUCCCCACUCAUCCAAACAGGAUUACUGGUCUACAGAAUUGUUAACGACCACAUUCAUUUGAAAGGCAAAGGGGACUUAGAAAUUUAGUUCAAACCUUUACAUUCCUAUGAUGUAAUUUAUUGAACUUAUCAAAUCUGCCUACAAUAUGUGGACAUGGAGGGCUCUUGCAAUCAUAACAGCUGCAUAGAUUUUCUUUCUCUCAACAGUGGUCGAUUCACUUGUGGACAGGACUGGUUAGAAUCAGAUGACAAAAGCCAAGGCCCUUUAGUGCUUCCCCAGUGUCAGUUCAUUCCUUACCCCUCUUAUAGCUUACUCAAUACCUUACACAGGAAUGAGCAAAUUGGAAACAAUCUCUGGAAUAAAUGAGAAUACACAAAAAAAGUAUUCCCUUCUAACCUUUCAGGUAAGACAGCCUAAACAUGAUAGGCAAAAAAAAAAAAAAAGGGGCGUUUUAAU
Salmo salar (Atlantic salmon) is the source of this 2846-nucleotide non-coding RNA. NCBI's taxonomy places the organism in Eukaryota, Metazoa, Chordata, Actinopteri, Salmoniformes, Salmonidae. The record is from RefSeq and is a predicted model, not a curated record.